This 1082-nucleotide unclassified non-coding RNA is filed under the name Hevea brasiliensis (rubber tree). The record is from RNAcentral. Lineage: Eukaryota; Viridiplantae; Streptophyta; Magnoliopsida; Malpighiales; Euphorbiaceae.
AUGGGCCAUGGCAUGAAAAGGAUAGCCAAGUAAACAAGACAACACAAAUAGAUCUCAUCUCCAACAUAGCCAUUUCAGAAUAGUUCACCGUCUAAGGAUGAUCAUAUAGAGGAAAACAAAAGAAGAAAACCAGCGGCUGCUUCUUCAAUAACAAGAGCAGCAAGAAUAACUUAGGCAAUCAUCACGAGCAACAACUACUAGCUGGAACGUCCUGUGGAGGUUUCUGUUUGAAGAUGUUCUUUGUCACACUGCUUGAACCUUCGGCCAACAGACUUGGUGUUUCUAAAAUCUUUAAAACAAGCUCNNNNNUUGACUCUAGUUUUUGCACUACAUUCAAGAAACAGGCAUCCAUAGUCCCUGGCAAAGUCAAGCCCCUCCUUUUUGGUGACAACCCUUUCACUUUCCUUAUCAACUUUAUUGCCGACAAGCAUCUUGAUGCAAUCCUGGUUUGUUGAAUAUAGAUCAAUUUCUUUAGCCCAUAUUUCAGAUAGAUUUGUGAAUGUUUCUCGUCUUGUUACAUCAUAUACCAUUAUCAUCCCCUGAGCUCCUCUGUAGUAAGAACUAGUAAGCGUUCUAAAUCUCUCCUGUCCAGCUGUGUCCCAAAUUGCAAGUUUCAACUUUUUCCCACCUAUGGUAACAUGCUUUACCUUAAAAUCCACACCAAUUGUAGGAGAGAGAUCCUCAAAAGUCUUGGAAGUGAAACUCAAUAGCAGACUACUCUUCCCCACACCAGAAUCCCCAAUCAACAACAGCUUGAACAAGUAGUCAAACUCUGGCUGACUUGAAGACGAUUCCAUUUGCAACCCAAUAAUCCCAAAAACAAAUUCUCCUGGAAAUUGAUUAAAGGGAAGAUUGUGUUAGAUCCGAAGUUACACGUUUUGGUAUAGGAAGGAAGAGUAUAGAUAUGGAGAGCGAGAAAAGGGAAAGGAGAGAUUGCAGAGAGACAAAGGAAGCUCUAAAGUCUUCUUCUUUCUUUCUUGUAAGUUGUAAUGGCUGUUUUCAUUUGUGCGCAGGUUGCUUUGCUUGUGCCAGCAAGUAAUGGUUUUGGUACGGUGAUACAAGGACUAUUUGUUUACAUUGUU